Molecule: ribosomal RNA, 421 nt
Filed under: uncultured bacterium
Lineage: Bacteria
Description: bacterial SSU rRNA
Rfam family: Bacterial small subunit ribosomal RNA
Source: RNAcentral
UAGGGAAUAUUGGGCAAUGGACGCAAGUCUGACCCAGCCAUGCCGCGUGGAGGAAGACGGCGCUCAGCGUUGUAAACUCCUUUUAUCAGGGAAGAACAGCAGAGAUGCGUUUCUGUGUGACGGUACCUGAAGAAUAAGCACCGGCUAACUCCGUGCCAGCAGCCGCGGUAAUACGGAGGGUGCAAGCGUUGUCCGGCUUUAUUGGGUUUAAAGGGUGCGUAGGUGGGUUAUCAAGUCCGAUUUGAAAGCGUGUCGCUUAACGAUACGAUGUGGUUGGAAACUGGUAGUCUUGAAUGGGGUAGAGGUAGCCGGAAUGGGUCAUGUGCGGUGAAAUGCAUAGAUAUGACCCAGAACCCCAAUGGCGAAGGCAGCCUACUACGGGGUGAUUGACACUGAGGCACGAGAGCAUGGGGAGCAAACA